Molecule: transfer RNA, 70 nt
Filed under: Trichonephila inaurata madagascariensis
Lineage: Eukaryota; Metazoa; Arthropoda; Arachnida; Araneae; Nephilidae
Rfam family: tRNA
About the family: Transfer RNA (tRNA) molecules are approximately 80 nucleotides in length. Their secondary structure includes four short double-helical elements and three loops (D, anti-codon, and T loops).
Source: Rfam by way of RNAcentral
GGUAGUAUAGCUCAGUGGUAAGGUAUUCGACUGCAGAUUGAGAGGUCUCCGGUUCAAACCCGGUUUACCC